UGACCUGUGAUCCAGUGAUUGACAGGAGAGGAAAGACUGGCCAACUUUGUUAGCUCUUCGUUAGGAUAUGCUCGAGAGGACAAAAGAUUUUGCACCUCGUUAUUGUUGGACCUCUGUGUGGAAACAGCGAACGGGACGUCAUAAGGGAAUAAUUUCAUGUCUGCAAGCCGCUGGAUGAUCAGUUUGGAGGGCAAGGUAUUUUAUGAGCCUGAGCAGAUGCAUGACUUUGGCAGCACCCUUGCUGGCUUCUUUGCGUCAUACUACGUUUUCAACCUUGAGUAUCAGGAGUCAGCGUCCAUCACACUGGAGAUGAUACAGAGGUUCUUUGUGAGGAUCAAUCCAGACAUGGGAACAAAAUGCCCUGCAAAACUUGGUACAAGCCGCAAGACAGGUCAUGUCGUAAAGAGGAAGGUUACAAGCAUCAGCCCUCGGAUCACCACCUUCCUCCAGCGGCUCUCU
Oreochromis aureus is the source of this 459-nucleotide long non-coding RNA. RefSeq lists it as uncharacterized. The record is from RefSeq and is a predicted model, not a curated record. NCBI's taxonomy places the organism in Eukaryota, Metazoa, Chordata, Actinopteri, Cichliformes, Cichlidae. The transcript is spliced from 3 exons.